GGGGAGAUGUAGUCCAGGAAACCGAUAAUGGCGGAGAAACUGUAGUCCAGGAUAUACCAGAAGCAGGAAGUGGUGAAGAAGAUCAAAAAAUUGAAAAUACGAUUCAAGAAAGAUCUGACCAGCCAACUUUUAGUUCAACACCCGAAACCAAUGACUCACCCCUUCUCGCUAUAACGAACAGACUGAGAAAUGAAGUAAGAAAUCGAAUCGGCUAGUCCAGCAUUCCCAUCAGAGAAGAAUCCAGACACCUGGCUUUUCACACAUUGACGGCUGUGAGCGAGCUUCUGUCUGCAGCCGGCAACCAAGAAGGAGUUCCUGAGCGCCUGGUUAUUCAGGCAUUGGCAGGCGUCGGCGAGCUUGUGACUGCACCAGGCAACCAAGAAGACCCCGGCUUCCGUUUGUCCAUCUUGGUGAAUAUGUGCUAUAUAAUGAAGAACAUUCUUGGAUGAAAAAAAGUCUAGUGAAUAAACAUGUCUGACCCGCAUUUAUCUCAG
Long non-coding RNA from Cyprinodon variegatus (sheepshead minnow), 494 nucleotides. RefSeq lists it as uncharacterized. The transcript is spliced from 3 exons. The record is from RefSeq and is a predicted model, not a curated record. NCBI's taxonomy places the organism in Eukaryota, Metazoa, Chordata, Actinopteri, Cyprinodontiformes, Cyprinodontidae.